GUACAUUUAGUCAAAGAGAACAAUGUUGAAGUUGUACCAGAGCAGUGGGUGGAGAAGAGAGAUGGGGUCCUGUGUUGCUACUGGCCAAGAAAUGCCAUUAAGAGAGGAGACCGGCCUGACAAAAUAUUAUGGGAGUAGUACAGAAUUUCCAUCUUUUCAUCAACUGACAAUUACUCUGUGGCAGAGCAACGAGCCAAACGGGGGUUGACACCUCCAAUGUUGAAUCUGACGAGGAACCAGCGAAGAGGGCGGUGACUAAACCAAUCAGAUUCCGUGUAGAGCCACCUGAUGAUGAUGGAAGUGAAGCACUCCAGAAAAAGACAAAUGAACCCAGACAAGCCCAGCGUACAGUGCCACAGCUUCCACCAGCCCCUAGUGUAACUUCAAGAGCCAGUGUCUUUGAAAAGACCCUACAACAAGGUACAUAAUGUUUCAAGUCUGAUAAACAAGCCUACUUUCUCAAAGUUCUGUUCCUACCAACUGUAUGGGAUGAACAGGAAAAUCUGAUAAGUGUGUACUAUAAAUGUGGUAACGGUUUGAC
Molecule: long non-coding RNA, 541 nt
Organism: Coregonus clupeaformis (lake whitefish)
Lineage: Eukaryota; Metazoa; Chordata; Actinopteri; Salmoniformes; Salmonidae
Exons: 5
Source: RefSeq, a predicted model, not a curated record